UUAAAAUUAGAUUUGGUUGGUUGGUUGAUUACAAAGAAAAAAAGUAAAGGAAAAAAUUAAUAAUGAUGUUCUUAUAAGCAAAGUCACGUUACUACUAUAAAAUAACAACUUUUUUGCAACAUUUCCGCCAUCGUAGAUUAAUUUUAUGAGUUACCGAAGAAAACAUAUGUAGCUGUCGGGUUCAAGACGAUCUAAGUGGUUUGUAAAUUCGCACUUUGCACUGGGGCACCGUCUUAUUUUCACUAUAUUUUUUGAAAAUAUGUAUUACAUAUUUAUUCAUAUAUUUAUAUGGUUGUGCUUUAAUAUACCCCUGAUAUUGCAAAGCAAUAAUUCAAACAUAUUGAAAUUUUACUUACGCUGCGGCACAAUAAUUGAAUAUAAAUAAUGUUUGAAAAUAUUAAAUACUAUUGACGAUAAUUACUUAUUUUAUGUGCGCCUAAGCAAAUAUUAUAUUAUAAAAGCACUAAGCGAGCGCUUUGUUAUAUGUAUGCCGACUAUUUGUGGUAGUUAAUGCUUGUGCGAAUAUGUCAUAGAAAUGCGGAAAGAUUAUAAAGAGAAAAGAAAAUGAAAUUUUUUUUUGUUAUUGUUACUGGUGGUGCAGUUGUGAAGAAAAUAAAGUGUUAUUUUGUUGCUGACUUUGUUAAACUGUUAAGUGCAAGUGGUUUCGAUGAACAACAUGCCGAAGCUGUGAAAACAAAUUAAAGCUGUAGAAAAUGCGAAUAAAUUUGAAAUGGCUUGGUCGCUGCUUUUGUUUAACUAUAAUAGCAACAAAAACUAAUUACGUAUAAUGGAAGAAAGUGAAGCAUAUAAGAAAUGUCUAAUGAGAUGAAUUUGCUAAAAGUUUUACGAAAAAUUUUUCGGUGGAAGGAACUACAAGCACAACCAGAACAUUUCUUCGUAUAAAUAAUUUGUUGUCUGUGACGUACUGUUAUCGACUUACAAAUUUUUGUUAGAAUAACACCACUCUCGUACUAGUUGAAAAUAGUUGGCGAGUAUAUAAUUAAAUUAUAUGCUAGAAUUGCCUUAUUUUUUAAAAAGCUUAAAAUUAUUGAUAAAGCUCAGGAAACACCUAACUGAAGAUCACUUUAAUAAAUGUCAAAAAUAUCGGCCUUUUCAUACUUAUUCUUUGCAACUCGAAAAAAGUAUAAUUCACUGCAAAAUAUGUCAUCAUGCCUAUACUAUGUUAGUAUAUUGUAUUAUAUAUAAGCAUUUGUGCGCAGAGAACAAGAUAAGUGAUGGCAAAUCCCAAAUCCUACCGUAAACGCGCCAACGUUUUGUUGUUUUUGCGCACGGUUGACGUUUAUGCACAGUUGCAAGAGCGAGCAAGUCCUACCAGGUAGCGCUACUGUUGCUGCUGUCUACAACAGGAAGACCGCGCGUAUAGGUGUUUAGUAUAAAUGCAACGUAUAGCUGCAAAAGGACUCAGUAGAAAACACAACGGAAAUUAGAACACAACUUAAAUUUUAACACAGACUAACAAACUAAUAGAUUAACUAAACCGAACGCAGUGCUUUAGUGUAAAUUCAAGCGGCAAGCUGAUCACAGCACACGCACUGCGCUUAAAACAAAAAGCAAAAUGGAUACGAAAAAACCAAACAACAUACUAAAUACCAGCGAUGAACUGUAUAUAACUGCGCAAUCGAGUCCAACGCGUGAUGCCAGCCCCUGCCGCUUGUCGUGGUUUCUUGUGAGAAACGAUCCACUUUAUGUGACUGAAUAUGGCACCUAUCGUUUAGUACAUGGCAUGGACUUGAUAGAUCCCGACUAUGCCAAUGCAUAUACGGGUAAUAUUUUAAGCUAUAAUGUUGGUACAGCAACACUAACUGGCAGAAUGUUGGCCGUCGCUGAUGCGGUAAAUCUUGUGCAACGUGCUCUACACGAUUGGCUGAGGGAAGAUCGUAAGAAAUAUCCAAUAUUUAAAUCGAAUAUAUUCGUACAAUAUCGACCAGCGCCAAAUCGUUUGGUGCAUAGAAUAUUACAUGAGGAGGAGGCGGUGCCUAUGUCGUCAACUGAAACUCCAGACGUUAGCGAUAUGGAUAUAUUUGUACGCGACGGCGAUAGGUUGUGUCAGGCAAAGAUAUUGUCACGUAAUCAUAACGUCGACGAUUUAAUAAAUGAUUUGACUAGGCUGACUAGCAACAUAUCCGAAAAAAUCGCAGCCGGUUUCGCAUCGAUUAAUCUCGAUUUGGACGCUACUACCCGACCCAAAGACAAUCCAUGGUUGCUAAUACAGUUUAGCGUUAGUAUACGUGAUAGCAUCUAUUCAAUUGUACGCUAUAAUGAUACAAUCGGUUGGGAAUAUAACGCCUAUCCAGGCUUACAAACAUAUCUACUUGUUGGCAAAACACUUUUCCAAGCUUUAAUUAUACAUAAAUCACACAGUCACAGAGCUGUGAAAUCAGCAUUAGAUAUCAUAAUGAAUUCGUGUAUCGUGUCGAUGUACCCGCAUUAUAACGAUCACGAGUAUCGCAAUGCGGAUAUAGAGAAGGUAUGUGCUAAUUUGAAGUGGGAAAGCUUUGAAGAACUGCGCGCACAAAUCACUAAAGAAUUAAAAAGAGCUGACGAGCCAACAAUAUGAAGCUUGAGUUUGUCAAGUGAAAGGAGCAAGAAGGAUAGAGAGAGUGAGGCAGGUAGAGACAGAGAGGCAUAUAGAAAGAGAGAGAGAGAGGGAGGGAGCUAGACGGCAGUAGUAGACUUCAAAACGUCACAUAUUUGAUAUUACAUAUAUUUUAUAUAUAUAAAUAUUCAUGAUUAUUUUUUUUAAUCUCUACCCCUUAACCACAUUUGUACCUUAGCGCUUGAAAACACGAUUCGUAAUAUUUUAGUUUGAACUCGCUAGUAUUUGUAGCAAUAUUUCCACAAAUAUGCCAACCGCUAACGCUGAUUCGGCUAACGCUGCUAAUUAGUAUGAGCAAUCAGACACAUAUAUAAAAGGCUGUGUACAAAGCAUUGAGAUCCACGAGGAUGACAUUAUAAAUUGUGAACAAGUAAAUGAACUUAUUACAAUGGAGGCGCAGGCAAUCAAUAAAAUUAUCAAUCAGAUCGACCAAACCGAAAGACAGGCGGAUCAUAUAAUGUGAAAAUUAAAAGCAAUAAACAGAAAAAAACAACGUGAAGCAAUGCAGUCGUAAUUAUGUAAACGUUAUGUCCAUUGCUUUCUUUUAAAAAUUUGUAUUGUGUUUCUUUAUCACUACUUAAAAAGUAUUAUUAUGUUACCUGCAUUCUAUUUAAAUUAUAUUAUAUUACAUGUUAAUACACGCAUAUUGUACAUGUUUUAUCUAAUUGCAAUUUGAGUAAAAUUUUUUUCAAAAA
Molecule: non-coding RNA, 3312 nt
Organism: Bactrocera oleae (olive fruit fly)
Lineage: Eukaryota; Metazoa; Arthropoda; Insecta; Diptera; Tephritidae
Source: RefSeq, a predicted model, not a curated record